UUCUCGCUGAACAGGGACCUCCAGAAGGGCCAUGGCGCCACCAGCCCUUAAUCUCGCCGGAUCCGGCCGCCUGCACGCCAAAUCCGCCGGAAAUGGAUCCGUCCCGUCCAGAUCCGGCCGGAUCCGACCGGGCCCCGCCAUCCUCGUCACUGGAGCACCGCCCCGCUCGACCAACAGCGUCGGCGCUGUCUGUCCCUGCCCGCGUCUGCACGAGGACGACGCUCGUCCCGCUCGCUUGCAGCAAUCGCAUGGGCCGCCGCCCCAGCCGUCCCGGCAUCAAGCCAAGGCCCAGCCCAAGCCACAUCUUCUGCCGCUCCAUCAUUGCCCACCUUGAGAUCAGCCCCGACGCCACCACCAUCUUCAGAUGCGUACGCACACUACUUCCUUCUUCAAAUUGCUUCACCACAUCAUGCUGAAUUUGCAAAUGGCCACUCCUUACAUGUGUGAUCGAGAAGCAAGGUCAAGUAUGAGCAGGCUGUCAGCGUGUAGUGGUCGGAGAUGCCGUCGCAACUUACAUGUCGCAGUCGUCGGCUCCAUGCUAAGAUUACGAGGCUCUAUGGUUGUAUCGUGGUGUUCCAGUAGUAAACUUUCAGGCUGGUUAGAUAGGGGAUGAAGAUGAUGUAUACUACCUAACGGCCAUCGAGUAAUAAAAGGAGAUGGAUUGAACUACAUGAUUUAUGCCAUGGGAAUGAUGAAAAAUCUUUGAGUGAGGAUGUUGAAUAAUUCAGUCCUGAUCAAUGGCUUCUCAUAAAAGUCUUCCUGCCAGCAAGAGAGCCCUUGCAGAUUUAUAGCUUUUAGUGUAAUUAUUACAGAGAAGACAUGCUUAGAGGGCCUAUAAUUUUACUAAGUGAACAUGUACUGAUCUCUACAUGCUUUUUAUUAGAGUAUCGCUUUCAUGUUUUACUAAGAUCUGUGCGGAAACAACAUGAGCCUUUGCUGCUUGGUCUGGGAUGGUGAAGUGGUGGUUGCAGUGGAAAUCGUUAAAGGGGGCACCGGUGUCCUCAGUUAUACGGUUACAGAAUAUAUGGAGUCAUGCCCAACGUUGCAAGGGAGCCUGUAGUGGGAGGCGACAAAGUAUUGGCUGUUACCAUAGUAUCCAUAAUGAGUUGUGUCAACACCAACCUCAGAGCUGGAAUAAGGAGUGCGCAUUCGCAUUGAUGAAACAACUUUCCCAUAGCCCGCUGCUACUGCCCACUACCACAAUCUUGCAUAGAUACUUGGAAAUUUGUGGUGAUUCGUAAUCAAACUUGCAAAGAACAUCCUUCUGAUUAUGUUUGAAGAGGUACGAUGGAUGGUUGAGCUGAGACCACUGUUUGAUAUUUGUUUGCCUUUGCUUUGUAACCAGUGAGGGCUGAAGUGAAUGAAUCUGGAAGUGCUUUAGUGAUUAAUGCUCUGUCCCAAGUUAAGCAUAUUCUACUUCCGGUCACUGGCCGCAAGCCUUACCUUUCAGUUCUAAUUCCUUGAGAUCACCACAGUUGUGAAUAUAGCCAUUGUUUCAACAGAACAAACCUAAGCUUAGCAUGAAAGAGAGUAUGAAAGUUCUGAUCUCUUCAAAAUAUGUGAGGGGCCUUGCUACCUUAGUUGUUGCAUAUGGCAUUAUAAUCAAUUUUGUGUAAGUCACAUGGAAAUCGAAGCUCAAGGCACAGUUCCCCAGUCCAAACGAGCACUCAUCUUUCAUGGGUGAUUUCUCUACCGCAACUGGACUUGCAACUUUCAUGAUGAUGCUGUUAGGCUGGAUUACAUUCCAAAGAUUUGGUUGGGGGGUGGCUUCCAUUAUCACCCCCAUAGUUUUGUGGUGACUGGCGUUGGUUUCUUUUCUGACUUUCAACAAGUGCAGUUCAUUGCCGCAGAGCAGUCUUAGAAGAUCCGUGCACAUGUAGCCUUAUUUCUUAUUCCAAAUUUCAUCAUACAAAAAACAUACUCAGUGUAACCUCAU
Molecule: RNA transcript, 1936 nt
Organism: Triticum dicoccoides
Lineage: Eukaryota; Viridiplantae; Streptophyta; Magnoliopsida; Poales; Poaceae
Exons: 6
Source: RefSeq, a predicted model, not a curated record